RNAcentral lists this transfer RNA (89 nucleotides) under Alphaproteobacteria bacterium. RNAcentral describes it as "tRNA-Ser". It matches the Rfam family "tRNA". From Rfam's summary of the family: Transfer RNA (tRNA) molecules are approximately 80 nucleotides in length. The record is from RNAcentral. Lineage: Bacteria; Pseudomonadati; Pseudomonadota; Alphaproteobacteria.
GGAGCGUUGGCAGAGUGGUAAUGCAGCGGAUUGCUAAUCCGUCAUCCCCUUAAAAGGAUGCACAGGUUCGAGUCCUGUACGCUCCGCCA